Molecule: ribosomal RNA, 458 nt
Filed under: uncultured bacterium
Lineage: Bacteria
Description: bacterial SSU rRNA
Rfam family: Bacterial small subunit ribosomal RNA
Source: RNAcentral
UACGGAAGGCAGCAGUGGGGAAUAUUGCACAAUGGGCGCAAGCCUGAUGCAGCCAUGCCGCGUGUAUGAAGAAGGCCUUCGGGUUGUAAAGUACUUUCAGUCGUGAGGAAGGUGUUAAGGUUAAUAACCUUAGCAAUUGACGUUAGCGACAGAAGAAGCACCGGCUAACUCCGUGCCAGCAGCCGCGGUAAUACGGAGAGGGCUAGCGUUAUUCGGAAUUAUUGGGCGUAAAGAGCGCGUAGGCUGAUUAGUAAGUUAAAAGUGAAAUCCCAAAGCUAACUUUGGAAUUGCUUUUUAAAACUGCUAGUCUAGAGAUUGAAAGAGGAUAGAGGAAUUCCUAGUGUAGAGGUGAAAUUCGUAAAUAUUAGGAGGAACACCAGUGGCGAAAGGCGUCUAUCUGGGUUCAAAUCUGACGCUGAGGCGCGAAGGCGUGGGGAGCAAACAGGGAUUAGGAUACC